Molecule: ribosomal RNA, 255 nt
Filed under: uncultured bacterium
Lineage: Bacteria
Description: partial 16S ribosomal RNA
Rfam family: Bacterial small subunit ribosomal RNA
Source: RNAcentral
UACGAAGGGGGCUAGCGUUGUUCGGAAUUACUGGCGUAAAGCGCACGUAGGCGGAUACUUAAGUCAGGGGUGAAAUCCCGGGGCUCAACCCCGGAACUGCCUUUGAUACUGGGUAUCUCGAGUCCGGAAGAGGUGAGUGGAAUUCCGAGUGUAGAGGUGAAAUUCGUAGAUAUUCGGAGGAACACCAGUGGCGAAGGCGGGCUCAUCAGGUUCCGGUACUGACGCUGAGGUGCGAAAGCGUGGGGAGCAAACAGG